Molecule: ribosomal RNA, 287 nt
Filed under: Bacteroidales bacterium
Lineage: Bacteria; Pseudomonadati; Bacteroidota; Bacteroidia; Bacteroidales
Description: partial 16S ribosomal RNA
Rfam family: Bacterial small subunit ribosomal RNA
Source: RNAcentral
AACAACGGAGAGUUUGAUCCUGGCUCAGGAUGAACGCUAGCGACAGGCUUAACACAUGCAAGUCGAGGGGCAGCGGGGAUGAGAGCUUGCUCUCAUCUGCCGGCGACCGGCGCACGGGUGAGUAACACGUAUGCAACCUGCCCCGGACUGGGGGAUAAGCGGCGGAAACGCCGUCUAAUACCGCGUACGACACCUGGGGGCAUCCCCGGGUGUUGAAAGAGAUUCGGUCCGGGAUGGGCAUGCGGCGCAUUAGCUGGUUGGCGGGGUAACGGCCCACCAAGGCGACG